GGCCCGGGGCAGAUGCCCCCGGCGGCCUGAGGCGGCCCGCGAGCAACAGUACAUAAACACGGGUGGAGGUGGACCCUUUCGCCACNACUUACUUCUCUUUUGUCGGCGUGCGGAAGGAUCAUUACCGAGUGAGGGCCCUCUGGGUCCAACCUCCCACCCGUGUUUAUCGUACCUUGUUGCUUCGGCGGGCCCGCCUCACGGCCGCCGGGGGGCAUCUGCCCCCGGGCCCGCGCCCGCCGAAGACACCAUUGAACGCUGUCUGAAGAUUGCAGUCUGAGCAUCUUAGCUAAAUCAGUUAAAACUUUCAACAACGGAUCUCUUGGUUCCGGCAUCGAUGAAGAACGCAGCGAAAUGCGAUAAGUAAUGUGAAUUGCAGAAUUCAGUGAAUCAUCGAGUCUUUGAACGCACAUUGCGCCCUCUGGUAUUCCGGAGGGCAUGCCUGUCCGAGCGUCAUUGCUGCCCUCAAGCACGGCUUGUGUGUUGGGUCCCCGCCCCCUGCUUCCAGGGGGCGGACCCGAAAGGCAGCGGCGGCACCGCGUCCGGUCCUCGAGCGUAUGGGGCUUCGUCACCCGCUCUUGUAGGCCCGGCCGGCGCCCGCCGGCGACCCCCCAUCAAUCUUUUCAGGUUGACCUCGGAUCAGGUAGGGAUACCCGCUGAACUUAAGCAUAUCANGNCGGGGAAGAAACUUACCCGUAUGAGGGAAGGAAUGGGUCCAACCUCCACCCGUGUUUAUCGUACCUUGUUGCUUCGGCGGGCCCGCCUCACGGCCGCCGGGGGGCAUCUGCCCCGGGCC
RNAcentral lists this ribosomal RNA (793 nucleotides) under Penicillium sp. SGE16. RNAcentral's name for it is "eukaryotic LSU rRNA". The stretch from base 300 to 453 matches the Rfam family "5.8S ribosomal RNA". The record is from RNAcentral. Lineage: Eukaryota; Fungi; Ascomycota; Eurotiomycetes; Eurotiales; Aspergillaceae.